Molecule: non-coding RNA, 744 nt
Filed under: Oecanthus rufescens
Lineage: Eukaryota; Metazoa; Arthropoda; Insecta; Orthoptera; Gryllidae
Source: RNAcentral
AGUUUUAUUCUUGCUUUGAUUUAUAUUAAAAAAAUGAAUUUUAUGUUUAAUCCUAAAUGAAUAUAAAGCAGUAAUUAGUAUUAUUCAAUUAAUUAAUAUUAGAAAUAGUAAUUUUUAUGAUAUUGGAUAAAUUCGUGCCAGCAUCCGCGGUUAGACGUGAAAUAUAAAUAUAAAUUAUUAAAUUUUAGUUAAUAUUUUAAUUUAAGUUAUAUAAGAAUUUUUAGGUGAAAUUAUAAUUUAAUAAAAGGCUUAAUAUUUAUUUAUGAAACUAAAAAAUAUACUAUUAAACUAGGAUUAGAUACCCUAUUAUAAUAUAGGUAAAAAAUUAGAUUUGGGUAGUAAUAGUUAUUUUCUUGAAACCCAAAGAAUUUGGCGGUGUUUUAGUCUAGUUAGAGGAAUCUGUUCUAUAAUCGAUAUUACACGAUUAUUUUUACUUAUAAUUGUUAUCAGUUUGUAUACCGCCGUCAUAAGAAUAUCUUUGAAAAGAUAUAAAUUUCUUUAUUUUAUAUUAAAAUUUAAGUCAGGUCAAGGUGCAGCUUAUGUAUAAGAAGAAAUGGAUUACAAUAAAAUUAUUUAUAUGAAUAUAAUAUUUAAAAUGUUAUUGAAAGUGGAUUUAAUUGUAAAUGUUAUUAUUUAAUAAUAUUGAUUUUAGCUCUAAAAUGUGCACAUAUCGCCCGUCGCUCUCAUUAAUAAAAUGAGAUAAGUCGUAACAUAGUAGAUGUACCGGAAGGUGUAUCUAGAAGA